AAUCCAAGAAAUACUUAGCUAAGUUCAAAUUCUAACUUUUGGAAGACUGUGAGGAAAUGCACCAUACACUGGGCUGGGCUGCUCUGUGCAAAGCAGUGUCACUGCUGAGCCCUGCCCCUUCUGCUUCUCUUCCUGGGGCACAAAGUGGCUCAGUGAGGCCACUAAUUCUGUCUUCCUCUUCCCAGGUCCUUUGGGAAGGGGGAGUAAAAAAGCACCAUGUCACUCCACAAAGCAUGGCCAAAUAAGUUUUCCAAGGAAGCCACUUUGGUGUUUGCUUCCCAGUCCAGUGUGUCAGAACAAGCCUGAAAUGGUGGCAGUGUGCUCCUCUCCUCCUCUGUGGCACACAGAAAGGAGAGCUGAGGGGAUAAAUUACUCUUUAGUUUCUGGCAGUGAGCAAAGCCUGCAUCUGAAUACUCAGCAUUUUCUCAGACAACACGGACUUCUAUCAACAGUGCAGCUGGCAGCCCCUGAUUCCCCAGGCAUGUCAGUCCAUGUGACCUUGCAGGCUCACAAAGAAUUCUGUCAGUGAGAGCUGAGUCGGAUGUUGUGCAAUUGAUCUGCUACUCUAUGGUGCACCAGAAAGCUGAAAAUCUGAGAUUUACCUGUGCUGAUUUACAUGACCUCUAGUCAGUAUCUAUCAAAAAAACCUGCCAGUUGCCCCUUCAUCUGGAUGAAACCCAAGCAGCCAAAAGGAA
Molecule: long non-coding RNA, 695 nt
Organism: Motacilla alba alba
Lineage: Eukaryota; Metazoa; Chordata; Aves; Passeriformes; Motacillidae
Exons: 3
Source: RefSeq, a predicted model, not a curated record